GUCUACGGCCAUUCCACCCCUGAACAAGCCUAAUCCCGUCUUAUCUCGGAAGCUAAGCAGGGCCAGGCUGGUUAGUACUUGGAUGGGAGACCACCUAGGAAGACCAAGUACUGUAGGCA
This 119-nucleotide ribosomal RNA is filed under the name Pteropus alecto (black flying fox). The record is from RNAcentral. Lineage: Eukaryota; Metazoa; Chordata; Mammalia; Chiroptera; Pteropodidae.